Molecule: ribosomal RNA, 305 nt
Filed under: uncultured bacterium
Lineage: Bacteria
Description: bacterial SSU rRNA
Rfam family: Bacterial small subunit ribosomal RNA
Source: RNAcentral
GCGCCCUACGGGACGCAGCAGUGGGGAAUAUUGCACAAUGGGGGAAACCCUGAUGCAGCGACGCCGCGUGAGUGAAGAAGUAUUUCGGUAUGUAAAGCCCUAUCGGCAGGGAAGAAACAGACGGUACCUGACUAAGAAGCCCCGGCCAACUACGUGCCAGCAGCCGCGGGAAUACGUAGGGGGCAAGCGUUAUCCGGAUUCACUGGGGGGAAAGGGAGCGGAGACGGCGACGCAAGUCUGGAGUGAAAGCCCGGGGCCCAACCCCGGGGCUGCGCUGGAAACUGCGGGGCUGGAGGACGGGAGGG